CUUGAUGGCAAUAGCGCUGUGGUCCCACCUGAAUCCAUUUCGAACUCAGUAGUGAAACGCAGUUGCGGCGAUGGUAGUGUGGCAGUCGCCAUGCGAGAGUAGCUCACCGUCAAGC
Molecule: ribosomal RNA, 115 nt
Filed under: Psychrosphaera saromensis
Lineage: Bacteria; Pseudomonadati; Pseudomonadota; Gammaproteobacteria; Alteromonadales; Pseudoalteromonadaceae
Source: RNAcentral